Long non-coding RNA from Canis lupus familiaris (dog), 2910 nucleotides. RefSeq lists it as uncharacterized. The record is from RefSeq and is a predicted model, not a curated record. The transcript is spliced from 3 exons. Lineage: Eukaryota; Metazoa; Chordata; Mammalia; Carnivora; Canidae.
ACCAGCUGAGAAGUAAGACGCCUGAGAGAUGAACAGGGGCUGCUGCCAUCUAAGGAGUGUCCCUAGCAGCGGGAGUGAUGGUGCAUGGCUGUGUGCCUGUGUUGGUGUCCUCUGUGCUCCCGGAUACACAUGUUGGAGAACAAAUGCUGUUCACUGGUUUGGGGUCCAGUGCCAAGAACAAAGUCAAGAUUCUCUCUCGGCACAUUCAAGACUCUCUCUGGAGUAUCGUUCAGUCUCCUUCCCUGCAAAUUAGAGCUCAAUUCUUGCUCGGACAUCUUGGGAUCCUGAAAUGAGAUAACGUGCAUGAAAUGCAGCGCCCGCGCAGUCGGACAUGUGGAAGGUACUACAUGAUGGCAGCACCUCCAUGCUGGUCAUGGUGCUUGCAGUGUGCACGGCUCCUGGAAACACCAGCUCACAGAGUCUGUGGAGUAGACCUGCCGGGGAAGUCUGAGUUGCUGAUGACCCAUAGGACCAAUGGCAGCCUGUGCACCGAAGUGUCCCUGCAAAGUCAGGCUCCGUGGCCACUAACCAGAGCCAUCACUUCCCAGGCACACGCAAAGUCCAGCUUCCUCCCAGCUGCUUCAGCUUCCUGAACGAUCUCACCGUUCUACUGUGAAGAACAGAGAGAGACAAAGUUGUGCCGAUCUUCCUCGGGUCCUUUGCAAUCGAGUGUCACCUGGGCGCAUGUUACCCUGCCUGGAGAAGCCUGAGGGGCCUGCGGGGAGGAGGUCUUCAGGGCCAAGCAGAGUCUCUUCCUUUUGUGCUGGAAGGUGGCCAGGGUCUGGUGGAGAGUUGUUUGUUGAAGGCUUUGAGGCCUGGCCUGGGGCUCUUAUUUUCCCAUGUGCUGAUAAAGGAAGGGGGCCCCUGGGCCUCUCCGGGUCAAGCUUCUGAUGUGGCCCAGGGGCUACUCAGCAGGGCAUGGUGACCCUAGCUUCACUUCACAGAGGAGUGUUCCCAGCACCACUGGGUUUGGGCUCCUGUCCAGGCAUGGGCAUACUGGGUGGCCCUGCUGCCCAUCUCUGGGGAGGAGGGCAAGUUUGCCUCCCAAACUUUUCCAAAGGCUUCCACUGCCUUCCCCUUGCCCCACCAUGCGCCAUCUAUCCCCGUGACCCCAAGCGAGCUUUUUUGGGAUACCAUAUCCUACAAGCAUAUCAGAGUGAAUAUUUUAAAUACACCGCCUCAGGUAUGUGAGUUUGAGGUGAUCUGAGGCCCCCACUAUUUGCUGAUGAUGCCAGCUAUGGCCUUGCCCUCCUCAGCUGGAUUUAGCAUUCAACAGCCAGCUGUAGGCCAGCCUGGUAGGCAGGAAUCCUGGAACACUGGUGUUGGACAGACCACCGAGGCCAUCCAUUCUUUGGAAGCAGGUAAUAUGGCUUAGUAGAAGACAAUGGACUGACAGCUGAUCUGUGCUGGGCUGCCCCAGUGGGUAGAAAAUGUUCUCAAAUGGAACUGAAAUCUGUCUCCCUGAGGUUAGAAAUCAGUGACUCUUGUUGUGGCAUCUGAGAAAUCCCAGAACAAGUCCAUCCUUUCUUCCAUCAUUACUAUUAUCAUUUAUAGCUUACAUUGGUAUGGAGUCGAUGGUUAUGAAGGAUACCUCUGUACAUAUGUGCUAAGGGCCUAAGUAAGUCUUCCCUGGGUGAAACAUCACAGCUUCCUCCACACAUUCCUUAAAUGGCAAACGUUUCCUUUCUAUACGAACCGCAGAGUCAGUUUUCAUCUCAAAAUGUUCUGUUUAUAAAAGUGAUGUAUGCUCAUAACGGAAAUUAGGAAAACACAGACAAUAAAAAAAAGAAAAAGAAAAAAGAAAAGAAAAAAUAGGACCAGUUUGUUGGGCACUUCUUUCAGGCAGACUCUGGGAUUGUCUGGACCCGCAGUGGCCUUCAGGUCCCUCUGAGUUACCGAUAGUCAGCCUGGUUUCAUACUUUAAUUUCAAAUUCAGUUUAAAUCCUGCUGCUUUGCCUUCUUCGGGACAGACUCCACUGGGGACCUCUGGCUCUUGGACCUACUACUCUCCCCCAGUGUCCCCUCCAUUUCGAGGCAGCUCGUUCAGUGCAUUGGGAUGAGGAGCAGAGAGAAGACAGCAAUCUUCCUUCUGUCAUUUUAGUCCCUGUGUCUCUUUUUCCACCUGGCUGUCAGCGCUCCCUCUCUGGCAGGCAUGAGAAUCUUGGGCACACAGAGGAGUUAUUCUGGGGGAGCCUGGGGAGCCCCUGCCCUCUCGGGGUGCAGGAGGUGCCUGUGUCCUUGUUGUGGCAAAUGGAAGAGUGUGUGCACCCUACCGUGUCUCCCCAGGAGCUGCCACUGUCUUUUGUUGUACGGUUGAAUUCAACGUGCUAAUAUUGAAUUAGGGUUUAAUUAGAGUCUUUGUGUCUUUAUUUCUUACUGAAAUUAAUCCAUUCACUUUGCCGCUAUAUCCCUUUUCUUUUUUUAAAGGUUUUGUUCUUAAGGCUGUGCUAGACUUAUAAAAUAAAUUGGAUUGUUUUCCAUCUUUUUCUGUACUUUGGAACCCUUUACAUAACGUGAGAAUUAUCUGUUCCAUGAGCAUUUGAAAGACACCCUGUGACAAAAGUCUGACCCCAAAGCCUUUUAGGGGGAGGCAGUUUCUUUGAAAUUGAUUUGGUUUCUUCCAUGCUUUUUGGUCAUUGCAGAUUUUUUUAAAACUUCUUUUUGAGACAAAUUUAGUAAUUUGUGUUUUCUCAGAAAAUGAUUCAUUUUACUUAAGAGACUUUCAAAUACAUUAGCACGAAGUUGUACCACUGUAUUCUCUUACAGCCAAAAAAACCUUCCUUCAUAUCUGUUAUGACAUCGUAUUUCCCAGUCCCCUGUUUUGUGUAUGAUCUCUCUCACUCUUUUCUUUCUUUUUCAAUCUGUAUUAAGGUUUUCAGACAUUUCUCUAUUGAAAUGCAUGUUUGUAAA